GGUGAGUAACACGUGGGCAACCUACCUAUAAGACUGGGAUAACUUCGGGAAACCGGAGCUAAUACCGGAUGACAUAAAGGAACUCCUGUUCCUUUAUUGAAAGAUGGCUUCGGCUAUCACUUACAGAUGGGCCCGCGGCGCAUUAGCUAGUUGGUGAGGUAACGGCUCACCAAGGCGACGAUGCGUAGCCGACCUGAGAGGGUGAUCGGCCACACUGGGACUGAGACACGGCCCAGACUCCUACGGGAGGCAGCAGUAGGGAAUCUUCCGCAAUGGACGAAAGUCUGACGGAGCAACGCCGCGUGAGCGAUGAAGGCCUUCGGGUCGUAAAGCUCUGUUGUUAGGGAAGAACAAGUGCUAGUUGAAUAAGCUGGCACCUUGACGGUACCUAACCAGAAAGCCACGGCUAACUACGUGCCAGCAGCCGCGGUAAUACGUAGGUGGCAAGCGUUGUCCGGAAUUAUUGGGCGUAAAGCGCGCGCAGGCGGUUUCUUAAGUCUGAUGUGAAAGCCCCCGGCUCAACCGGGGAGGGUCAUUGGAAACUGGGAAACUUGAGUGCAGAAGAGGAAAGUGGAAUUCCAAGUGUAGCGGUGAAAUGCGUAGAGAUUUGGAGGAACACCAGUGGCGAAGGCGACUUUCUGGUCUGUAACUGACGCUGAGGCGCGAAAGCGUGGGGAGCAAACAGGAUUAGAUACCCUGGUAGUCCACGCUGUAAACGAUGAGUGCUAAGUGUUAGAGGGUUUCCGCCCUUUAGUGCUGAAGUUAACGCAUUAAGCACUCCGCCUGGGGAGUACGGUCGCAAGACUGAAACUCAAAGGAAUUGACGGGGGCCCGCACAAGUGGUGGAGCAUGUGGUUUAAUUCGAAGCAACGCGAAGAACCUUACCAGGUCUUGACAUCCUCUGACAACCCUAGAGAUAGGGCUUUCCCUUCGGGGACAGAGUGACAGGUGGUGCAUGGUUGUCGUCAGCUCGUGUCGUGAGAUGUUGGGUUAAGUCCCGCAACGAGCGCAACCCUUGAUCUUAGUUGCCAGCAUUUAGUUGGGCACUCUAAGGUGACUGCCGGUGACAAACCGGAGGAAGGUGGGGAUGACGUCAAAUCAUCAUGCCCCUUAUGACCUGGGCUACACACGUGCUACAAUGGAUAGUACAAAGGGUUGCAAGACCGCGAGGUGGAGCUAAUCCCAUAAAACUAUUCUCAGUUCGGAUUGUAGGCUGCAACU
This 1221-nucleotide ribosomal RNA is filed under the name Bacillus sp. (in: firmicutes). RNAcentral's name for it is "bacterial SSU rRNA". It matches the Rfam family "Bacterial small subunit ribosomal RNA", at positions 105 to 1312 of the family's 1533-position model. The record is from RNAcentral. Lineage: Bacteria; Bacillati; Bacillota; Bacilli; Caryophanales; Bacillaceae.